GCACUUGGAGCCCAGGGCAGGGUUCACAGAGCUAUUUUGAGUUCUCUUGCAGGAUCUCCUUCCCAGCCUUCAGAAGUUGCCGGUCUGGGAGUUGGGGGCCAGGAGAAGAUCCUGCAACCCAGUGAUUCCAUGGAAAGCAGAAAGAAGAACAUAAAGAAACGGAUACUUGGUGACAUCUUUGACUUGCUGGAUCAAACCUUGCCUGAAGCUCACAUUUCUGAAAUUUCCAGAUACAAGAACAAAUAAUUUCUCUUUAUUGUUUUACUAGAUUUGAGACAAGCUUUAAGUUUCUCAGACUCUUCCUCUUCCUAACAGAUUUAUCAGAAGCUGAAAGCUCUGAUCUUGUUGGGAUGCGGAUCUCGUCAGGAGAAGGCUUACUUUGCACGCUUUUCUUAGUCUGUUGCCUAACUCAAGAACCUCGGCACGGCUCUGUUACUUCUCUACUCAGACAAGCAUCCCUGCAGACACUCACUAGGCUAACUCUGUCUUUAUUUUUAGAAUUAGACCUUUACAAGAAGCACAGUUUUGUCUUCAGUUUCCUCUCCCCCCACCUGGAAUGGCCUGAGCCGAAGCCAGCUCCCUCCGAGAAGUCAUUACCGCCUGACUUGCGUUUGAUAUUUAGACACCUUGGUCACAACAUCUUGCGUUCUCUCAGGAUGCUCAGGCAGGGGAUCCCUGCUCUUCUGUAUUAAUGAGAAAACCAAGGCUCAGAGAAACUAUGGAUUUUCUAAGGAUGCUGGCUCUCCGUCCCCUGUCCACCAUGAGUCAAAGCAACAUGAGUCCCUUACCAGAUGCAACUGCCCAGUCUUGGACUUUCCAGUGACCAGAAUCAUGAGCCAAAUAAACCUCUUUUCUUUAUG
This 860-nucleotide non-coding RNA is filed under the name Pongo abelii (Sumatran orangutan). The record is from RNAcentral. Lineage: Eukaryota; Metazoa; Chordata; Mammalia; Primates; Hominidae.